AGUGCCUUGGGCAGGCUCCCUUCACGUGGCAUUCAGCAGUGCUGGGGCAGCAUUCUGCUGGCCAGCUUUUCCUGAAAAAUAAAAUCUAUUCCUUAAUAAAGGAAAAUUAGUAGCUUAACCAAGAUUAGACUGUACCCCAGCUGCUUUUAUAAGUCUGUCGAUUGUGUGUGAACUCUGCAUGCCCAGGGCUCAACAUGUUACAGGGGAAUCUCUCCAAAGCUUAAAGAGCAGAAUAAAAUCCUUACCUUUCUCAUGCUCCCUAAAAUGCCCCGUUGCUUUCAUAGCAAGGCAUUAUUUUUCUUACUGACAUUUGUAGCCAUAACUUUUCUAUUUCUCUUGUGCAUAAGAGGAACUCGUGUCUGUGACAUUCAGUCAGUGGGGGAUGGAUCCCAAUGGUUUUGUGCCAUUUGAGUUGCCAUGGGGCUCAUCCCAGUGUCUCCAGCUCUUGUGUAUUUUGAUUUCUCCCAGAAGAUGGAGAGAAAUCAAGGAUUUCUCCUUUUCCUCUGAGGAACCCUGUGGAUGUUUUCUCUGCAGUAGGAUUCAGCAUUGUGCAGCUCCCCAGGCUGGAGCUGCUGUGUCUGCUGUGACCACCCUGCAAUCUGCAGGAUCUUUGGUGUCCCCAGUGUCACCUGUAAAUUUCUUUUCACUUCACUCCAUUUGAAACUGGGAAAGGAAAAUACCCACAAAUCCCCAAGUUUCAUCACCACUGUACAAAUUUAAGCAGGUGAAUCAAAAUAUUCCUAUAGAAAUUCUCACAGAGUCUCUAACUUUAUAAAUGAUAAAUGCCUGAGCCACUCUUUUACAGAAGUACUGAGUUUAUGAAGCUAAAUGAACAAAUUUUGACAAUUUCCCAGUGAUUGUACAGCCAGAGGAAUUCUGAAGACAAGGCAAGGCUGUUCCCCAGGGCUGCAGAGCAGAGCUGGUGUUGGGAGUGUGUGGCUGUACAGUCCCUGGACAGCAGAGGUCCUCCAGACCCAGCUCUUCAUCCCCAAGUGGGAAUUUUGCAGCAAUUACCUUCGAUUAGUCACUCUAGAAAAUAAUUUUACUCAAGGAUUUUGUCAUGGAGAUAAACAAAACAAUCAUCUUGUUUGCCUUGAUUUUUAAAAUUAUUUUUGUUGUGGAAUAUUUGCUGUUGUUAUUUCCUCUGCAGUGCUUAAACUUGGAGGGUUUAAAUCCUCUGUGGAGUCUUUUGAAGACACGUGCAGCAGUAUUUUAGCAAAGUAUUUCAUGUGCCUCAUUUGUCAUUUAGCAGCAGUGCUGCUGUCUAGAAACACAACUCUUUAAUUAUUAUCAGAAAACACACAAAUGUCUGAAAUGUUAUGGUUAGAAUGUAACUGAUAUCCAGCUCACUUUCCAGUAAGAUUGUAACAAAUUUUUACUUUAGCUUUGAGAAGCUAAUUUUGAUUAUUUGAAUAUGUACAACAAGUAAAGAGUUGGCAAUGCCUCAUGAAUUUAUGGGCUUGGGCAAAAUUUAAAUAUCUAUGCAGUUAUAGAGGUAACUGUAUUAUCAGCCUCUCAUUUGUAGAUUUCUAUAAAUCUUAGAAAAAUAUGGAAAUUAUAAAUAUUGAAAGUGGUUUUUCUCCUUCAUACUCUACUGGCUGAGCACCUUAACAAGCCCUGUCUGAAAGCCAUUCCAACUUUGUUGCUGGUAACUUCCCUGUAACCUGGGUAACUAAGCUUUGAGGAGAAAACAAGAAUAUAAGUAAAAGUAACUGCAGUUUAUUUUAAAAUAUUUUCCAUUAUUAACACAUUUUUAAUAGCAGGAGACGCCCAGAUUUUGGCUUCAUUAUUAAACAUGCUGGAGAAUGGGGUUUGUGCUGGAGCAGCUGCCAGCUUUGUGUCUCCACUCACAAUUAUUUCCAAAUUGUUACCCUGCUACUGCUAUUAACUGGCUUGGUCAUUCACAGGUUUUUAGAAGGCCAAAAAAAAAGAAGAAAAAAGGGCAUUUUACCAUUUUAUUUCGAUUCACUUCACUACUGUCUUUAACCUGUCGUGUUUUCUGGACAAUCUCAUGACGGUGCCUUUUUGUAAAAGCCCUGUGAAUGAUGGAUUAAGAUCUGUCUUGGAUUUUACAUGGAUUAAGCUUUAAAUUAACAUAAAAGAAUAACAAUGUGAAUCAAUUUGAUCAAAGAAAAAGUGUCACUAAUUAUUUAAACAGGACACUUAGUCCCAAGGUUUAAAGGCAAAGGAGCGGAUUUCCCUUGCAUGUGGAUCGAAUCAGAAGUAUCCCAUAAUUGACUCUUUACAAGACCUUUCUGCAGAGUAAUGGACUAGAUAUUAAAGCCUUAAGUAUUUAAAGUGAGUUUCCGUCCUUCUCUAAAUGGAGCUGCAGCACUAAGAGCUAUUUUACAAGUCUGACACAUUAGUGCAUCCCUGGGAAAUCCGCCGGGCUCCGGCCGCUCCGGCCCCGCGUUCCCAGAGCUCUCAGCCCUUCCACGGUGUGAAAUGGUGAGCGCUGGACCUGUGAGGAGCAUCUGAGAAUAAAUUCCAGAUGGGGCUGUCUGUUGGGAAGGAGUGGGGAUAGUGGAUGGGGCUAUUAUUUAUAAGUGUUUAAUUGGCUUUAUCUUUGCCACCUAUUUCUAAUUUUGUUGGCGCCUCUUGGGAAAAUUCAUUCUCUGGUGACAAAGGCUCGUGUGGCCUCAGAGCUGUUCUCCUUUCUGGGCUCUGGAGAUGUUCUUCUGCACUUCUGGAUGAGAUGAAUGCUGCUACAAGUAAAACACUGCUUUGUACCUGAAGGGAUUUUUAUUUUCUCAUACCAGUUUUAUUUUGGAGGGGAUGCAGUGAAGUCAUUCCCAAAAAAGACACUUCUCUCUCCUUGGCCAGUCCUUGUUUCAGACAAGAAACUUCAGACAAGAGCUUUUUUUCAAAUUGAGAUGUUCUUCCUAAGGGGAGUUGAGCUAGUACAGUUUAUCCAAUCUUAUAAAAACUAGCACAAAUAAGACAGGAAAACAUGAAAAUGUUAUAGGUGCUCCCAUUAUUUACAGGGUUGAACCAAUCCUUUUUUCUUUUUUAAAAUUAUUACUACAUGUAAAAUGGCAUGUGUUAUAUUAGGGAAUAUUUCUGUCAAUAUAAACUUUUAUUUGUAUUGAUCCUUGUUUAAAUUGUUGCUGUGUUAGAGUCCCUGAACAUCUUCCAGCUCUUUAUUUUCCAUUAAUCCAUGCUCCAAGUGGUUUCUCCCACCUUGUACCCCAGGUCCCACCUUUUCAGACAGCCCCAUGUAUGUGGUACAAUAAUAUUACACAGACAGGAAAAAUCAGUUCCUUUUUGUAUGGAAAUAAUUCAUAUAUAAAUAUUCCUUUGCUAUGUGGUUUAUACUGUAUAGACUUACAGGAUAAUAUUACUGGCAAAAUAAUUCUUAAUAUGACACAGAAUUUACUUUUUGCCUAUUUCUGUUUUCAACUGUCAGGUGGAAACCAAAUCACCCUGAAAUCAACAGGAGAUCAGUCAGGCAAGGAGUCUUGGGAAGGCAAAAAUUUUGUCCCAUAUAGGCACAGUUUAAAAUUCCAAAGGAUUCGAAAAAUCUGAAUAUCUGAACUUCAAUUUGUAACAUCUGGGACUUCAAACCAGACAUAAACAAUAUUGAAUGAAUUAUAUUUUUUGUGUUUCAUCAAAAUAACAUUGUAAAUACUGAAGCCACAAAUUAUACUUUAAAAUGAGAGUGGACAUUGACUGUGAUUACCCUGAAAGUUGAAGUAUUUCAUACACAAAGAUCAAAGAAAAUGCUGCUUAACUCUUGCAGAGGAGAAAUCAUUUCUAGAACUUAAUCUGAAACUCAGGUUAUGGAUUUAACUGCUCCUUUUUGUGGAGGUGAAGAAAGAGAGCCAAGUUUUGAAGUAUUUAUUUUCACAAUUAUUCCUGGGCUUGUCCUCUGCUCCGAGGAAAGGACCUCCCGUGUUCUGGGCAAACCAAGUGCUUGCCGUGGGAAUGUUGGGGUUUCUUCCCUCAGCUGCAGACAGGGAAGAAGGGGCCCAACAAAUCCUCAUUUUUUGCCUUUGGCAGGGUGACCUCGUCCCCCUGAGCUGGGUUGGGAUUUUGGCCAAGGCUGGUCCUGCAGAGCCACGCCAGGUCCAGCCACAGCCCACCUUCCCGAGUCUAGACAGGGCUGAGCAGCACAUUCAGCCUUGGCUCGGGGAUUUUAGGGUUUCUCAGCUCUCUCCAGACUCUGUGGGACACAUUCCCAGGCUCUCUGUGCAAUGCCCAGGUAAAUGGGGUUUGCACGGUGCUGCGAGUGACAAAUUCCCAAAUUCCCAAAUUCCCAAAUUCCCAAAUUCCCAAAUUCCCAGCACAACCACGGAGCUGCAGCAGCUCCCUGAGUGCUGCACCUCCCCUGCUCGGGGUUGUGUUUGUACUCAUGCCUUCCAUCCCUUUAUUUUCCCCUGGUGAUUUCACAAUGGAACAAAAUGGAGUUCCUAUGGCACAGAGUUUUUCCAUUGACUUUCCAACUUUCCAUAUCCUGCUCCCAUGGCAUAGAGGGAAUAUUGGAGCUCUUCUGCUGCUUGGACUGUAGGGGUCUGAGUUGUUAAACCUUUUACAGCUCAGGGGUGGAUGUUGUGUAUCUAUCUGUCUUGAAAUCUUAAUUGUUUAAAUCUAAUAAUUAAAAUUAUUUAUGAAAUUUCUCCUGAUUUAAAUCACGCCAGAAGGUGAUGCUGAGACCCUCAAGGGUCCUGAGCAUUGUUGUACCAAAAAAGAGUUUGUAGGUUUCUGUUGCUUCCAAAGAAAGUAAACUCAAGAAAACCCAUAACUUUUAACUUGGUCUUAAAAUCUUACCAGUCUAAUUUUUCAGUCCUGAGAUUUCUGCCUGAAGUACUUUUCUUGGGCUAUCUUUGUUUUACACCAAAACAAAUAUUUUGAAAAAUCCAGUUUCCAUUGAUUUUCUUCCUCAGAAAAGCAGCUAGGAGCUAAUAAAAGGAGAGGAGCUGGUCCAAGGAAAGCACUGUGGCUGUUGGAGAUCUGCAGAGCUGGGCUGGGGAGCAACAAGAGCUGCUGUCAAUCCCCUUCCUUUUCCUCCUUUGCAAGGCACAGCUGGGCUUGCACCCACGCUGGGGCUCCUUUCCAAUAGCAUCCAAAGGGAGAUUAAACGAACUAAUAUUCAUUUAUAUUUAGAAAUUAACCUAAGGAAUCACCAAGAAAUGCAUGAAACUAAUCAUAAAGCAAAGCCUGAUCCCAGAAAAAUCAAAGUAAACUCUCCAUCUCUUGUCCCAUAUGGAUUGAUGCUGUUCUCAGCUCACCAGAGCAUCAGAACUGAUUUUAUAGGUUAGAAAUUAGUGUUAAUUUCUAGCUUGGAGCACCCAAAAAGCUUUACUGAAGGAAAUAACCAAAAUACAAAAGGCACCACUUGCUCAGAAGGUGCAGGAUGAGGGCAGGAUCCUCUGUUCCUGUUGAUGACAGAAGUUUGUAUGUAACCUCCAUCAGCAAAAUAUUAAAAACACCCUCAUUCACCUUUUCUCAUAAAACAGCCACUAAAAUAAUUAACUUAAAGGUGUGUAGAUACAGACAUUAGAGAUCCAUCAGGUGAGCAGAGUGUGAUUUUUGCCAGUGUACAUUUGUGAGUAAUAUCCUCAAGAUUCAAGUAAAAAUUGUCUUUGAACUCUUGGAGUCUCCUGAAGACUGUAGGCAGUUGGCUCUGCUUCCCUGGAUCCAGUACACCCUCCAGAACAUUAAUUUGUGUUACAUUUCCUAGGGGUGUUAAUUGAAGAUGCUGGAAAUAAAGGUAUGAAUUCUGCUUCCAAGUCACAAAUGUUUUAGUUCAGCUCCAGACAGAUUAUUUUUAAGUAAUGUGUGAUUUGGUUUUCAUUUUCUCUUCAUUUUAUUUAAAAGGGCUUCUGCAUUGUUCUUUGCUGCUGUAGUUAAUCUAUGAAUUAGGAGGGGCAGAAGUUAAUUUAUAGCACAGAAGACAUUCAUGCUGCUUAGGGAGUUGAAUCCAUCACCCUGUGUUUAUUUGUCAGCUGUUUAGGUUUCCUUCACUUUGCCUCACAGCCUUUUCUCUGCAACUGCUGUGUGCAGUGUGAAACAAGUUCAAGCUGUGCAUAGAAGUGUGUGUACACAGGUCUCUGCUUCCAUUCUGGCAACCAAACGUUGUCUCCUUCCUUUCUGGGUUUCCCUGAAGAAUGUCACUCCAAAUCAAGAUGUUUGGGAUGGCAAAAGCAUUCAGCACCUCCCACCCCACCAAAAAAAAAUUAUAUUUGGAAAUCUCAGCUUUAAUUCAUGAGACAGAUCAGAUCCAGAGCCAGCACACACCAGUGUAUUGAAUAUUUUCAACUGAAUAGCUCUAGUUGUCCCUUCUUUUUGUAUAUAUUUAUAUGUUGUAACUGAUUUAUUGAUAGGAGACUGCUGAAGUGGGUGACCACUUAGAACAUUCCUGUGGGAAUAAAACUGUCCCUUGUCCUUUCCCAAAUUAAACUGCCCUAGGUAUAGUAUUCACUUGUGUGAUAUUUUAGCCUUAUGAAAUUAAUUUUCCUCCUUCCUCAUUGUUGCAAAUAUUUUCUGUUAUCACUUUCACAGUCUAUCAGUGAUCUUUCCUUAGGAUAGAGUAUCCUAAACAUUGCUCAAGGCUGCUAAUUCUUCCAGGACUGAUCCAUAGCUCUGCUGUCAAGUUUCCAGGGAUGAUUUUUGGUUUUGUUUGACAGCUCAGUCCCACAGUUCCUCCUGACUCUGUUUCCCUGUGGGAAGUGCCACUCAGAAGGAGCAGUGGUACAGAAAACCUGCAUUCUUCUGGAGCCAAGGCUGAGCUCCAGCCCACUGCACAACUCUGGGAAUCCCAGUUGUUGCCUUUCCCUGUAAUCAGCCACAAAAGGGGUUUGAAAGGCUCCAGGAUGAAUGGCUGAGCAGGGCUGGAGCCAUCUGCCCCCAAACCGUGUGGCUGGAGCAGGAUGAGAUAAAGGAGGAAUCCUCCCUUCAGGAUGGAUUGUUCAGGCACUGCAGCUGACAGGACCAGGUGACCAGAUGUAACUGCAACAAGAAUCUGCAACAUCUGGAAGCCCUUUUUGGAAGGACUGAGACCUGUGAUAAGAAAGAAAGUUCUGAGGCCAUCUGGAGAAUUCCCAGGAUGGGUGGGAAGGCUGGAUGCAAACCCCAAGGCUGGACUGACAAGGUCUGACUGCCAUCACCCAGAGAGCUUCCCAGAGCAUGGCAGAAAGAAGGAAAGUCUUGGGCAGAUGAAGAUACAAGCUAAAAUAUUCAUUUUGGAACCAAAUUGAAGGAUCUUAGGUCCCAUUUGAAGCCCACAAUGCAACAAAUGAUUGUCAGCCAGUGAUCUCUGUAAAAUCAGAAAUUAGGGCAAAAAACAAACUUGUAAUUUGAAAUUUAAGAAUAAUUCUGAUGGGAUAUUUCAGAUCAAUUCACAAACUGAUUAACCCUCUCCAUUUGAGCUCUGGGCUUCAAGAGGAGCAUGGCUGCUCCUUUCAAAUCCCAGCCCUGAUGAAUGACUGGAAAGGUGGGCAGAAACUGGAGCUCCUGGCAGCCAAAUCCCCUAACUCAAGUCCUGUUUGGAAAAUGAAUGAUGAAAAGGGGCAUUCCUAAUCUGAUCCCUGGCCUUACUAUACAAUUAGGAAAAGUGAUAAUCUUCGUUUGUAAAACAAGGAAAAUUGGCAGCUGUGAAAAAAAUAAAGGAAGUAGUUGAGUUUAAUAUUAGACUUAUGAAAAAAUUGGCCAUAAAAGCUGUUCUGAGGCUGGCCAGGACAGAGCCUCAGAAAUGUCUGGGGAGUGUUCUUCAAUCAGUUCAGGGAAUGUGAGGACAUGAAGCUGAAAGUGCUGAGCUCCAAAGGAAUGAGGAUAAAGCUUAAAGCUUUUCUCUAGAUUUGGUCAGUUUACUUUCUGAAUGUAUAUUGGGAUCUGGGAAACGAAUGGAAUAAAGUCCCUUUUCUCUGCAGUUAUUGGACAAGGUGAGCUGAAAAAGAAUAAAUUGGGCUCAAGCAGGGAGAGUGACUGCUGGCAGACACAGGGCUUUCCAAAGGUGGGGAAAUUGAUUUAGAAAAGUCAUCCUCUCUGAGCAAGAAAUGUAACUAAAAUGAUGGAUAGGCUAUGGAAGGAUUUGGAGAUCAUUAUGGUAAUAGAGUAAUACAAGCUGGAAGUAUUGUCUUACCAAUGAAAUCCCUGGAAAUUUUCUUUAAUUAUGUGGCUCAGAUGAAGCAUAGAAUUUGCAGAUAACUGAUUUGGAGUGAGGAGAUUUUCCCAGUGCAGCAGGCAACUACUUCAGCAGCUACUUGUGGCAGUAUCAAAGCAAAGGUUAAAGUGGUGGAAAUCGUAUUUUAAGGGCCAAACAUUUGCAGAAACUUUUGCUGCUGGAUCUGAAGGAAAGGGUGGUUUUUCUCUUGCACUAAGCAAUUUAAAUUCUAAAUUCCUUGAAAUGCAGAGCUGCAGCAAGAUUUCAAGUGAUUUCCCUGCAGCAUGUGAUGCUGUAGUGGGUGUACUUGCUCUGGCUUUGCUCCAGCUUUCACAACUAAUUGAAACUUUGAAAAUCCAACAGCUUGGAGGUCAAUACAGGUCCUGAAGGUCCUGGAAACACCUCCAGGAGCCACAGAACCUCCAAGCCUCUCUUGGAGGUAGAGGUGCCAUCACUGCUGGAACUUGUGUGAGCCGGGCUAAAAUCACCAGAGCUGUGCCACAAUCCCAGUUCCAGGGUACUGUUUAGAUUCACAGAAGUUUUUUCCAGUUAAAAAUCAGUUCUCUGAAUCCAAUAAACACACAGGCUGCACACAGUGGUGCACCACAGAUGGAUUCUGAGGGAAACCAACCCAUUCCCAGCACCUCGCUGUCAGAAAGUGCUACUGGGCAUCAAGGGAGUGAACUGGGAUGGAUAAAUGAGCUUUCAACGAUUUUUGGACCUCACUCAUAGUUCUGAUUAAAGUCAAAUGGUGGCUGGAGUGGAUCCUGCAGAGCCAAGUUACAGGAAAAAGGGGAGGGAACAGCUUCCAGAGCAGGACAAGGCCUACUGCAAUUUGAAAAAGAUUACUUUUGGCCCAGCACCUGCUGCCUUUUGAGGAUGGGAAGGAGCUGUGCUCCAGCCUGCCUGGAUCAGAUUAGCUCUAGAUGGUAUCUUGGUACCAAGUACAACACUGAGGUGUGAACUGAUGGAUUUACAAAUGGUCUGUAACACACUGAAAGCCCUCAGCCUGACAUCAAUUCCAAAGGCAAGGGAAUCAUUGGAGGCAGAAGUGAUUAAUUGUGAGUAUACAGCCAUCCAGGGAAUGGUUUCACAGACAAAAGGACAGAGGAGAGGCAGGACCAUCCUGGGCAGCUCUCCAGCCGGUGCCACUCAGGUGAAGGUUUUUCUGAGGAAUUUUUUAAGGAUUACUGCUGCUAUUUCAGGCAGAUUUUUGUGGCUUUGUUAAUAUUGUAAAACCACUACGUGAGCUUGGUGAGAAGGAAACCAUUUCAGUGGCUGGCAGAGUGUGAUUUAACGUUUUCAAAAAUGUUUUUUAACAAAACCUCUUGUAACUGCUCCCAUUUUCACCUCCCCACGUUCCAAACACCUUCCAGGCUGGGCACAGAUGCCGAGGGCAGCACUGACAGAGAGAAUCAAAGCACUGGAAGGGAUGGGGGCUUAUUACAACAAAAAUUCUGUUCUUGGGAGAAAAAUCCAUAUUCUGCUCCAAGAACAUCUGACAGUGGUUAAAUCCAGAGAAGGUUUCACCGUGGAUCCUUUGGAGAGGCUUGGCCAGCUCUGGCAGGCUGCGGGGACACUGCGGGAUGUGGAGGGCAGGAAUUGGGAUUCUGUGGGGUGGGACCAGCUCAGGCUCAGCUUCACCCAGAGAACAACUUUGGAGGUUCACCCCAACCUUGUCCCAUCCCAGAACAUCAGGCAAAGGUCACCUGAUGUUCUGGGAAAGCCAGGUGUGAUGUCCACUUGUCCAAGUGGCUCUCCUGGAAUUCUGUGUUUCUUUUUUCAACAGGGAGUUGGAGUGGUGGAUGAAGCAUCAGCUCCUGCUCUGGGAUUCCUGCUGUGGCCUUUGUUAAACAGCACAAUUGUGUUGAGGAAACACGUGGCUCUGUCCUCCAUUAGUCUCUCCUGACAUAAAUAUGCAGCAAUAAAUUAAGAUUUAUUCAUUUGUUAGUGUUCAGGAUGAUUAUUCUGCUAUUAAAUUCCCCAUCUCUGCUGUUGGAUGAAGCGAAGGAAAUCUGUACCUUAGUGAAGGCUGUUACAAUAUCAUGUGGCUGGAACAUAUGUGUUUUAUCCAUAUUCAUAUAUAAAAUAUCAUUAUGAUCCCUGGGGUUGAUGCAUGUGAACUGAUCAUUUUCUUGCUACAUUUAACCAAGUGCUAUGAAAAUUUGAGGGGAUUUUGCUACAGCAGAGAUUCAGCUUUUAAAGUUUAGCAUCUAAGCCAUGCUUCCCAAAAUAUCUGAUUUUUUUGUACCUAAACCACCCUGGAGACGUCAUGACACAUUUCAGGUGUCUUACAGAACUGAGGAGAAAUGGGUUUAAACACAUUUAUGUUAAACACUGAUAUUUCAACUUCUGCACAUCACUGGUGCCUGAAAACUGCAAGAACAAAAGCAUGGAAAUUGGGUACUUAUAAAUAAUCAGAUUUUAACACCUUUGUUACAUUUUAAAGCUGUUGGAAGCUUUCUUCCAACAGUGAGGAAGGUGAAACACUGGGAAAUCAGUCCUGUGAAGAUUUUUAUCAUUUUAUAAACCCUCUGUUGAACAAGCUCCCAUGUAAAUCUGUGGUCCUGCUGGGUUCCUCUGGGUUAUCCAGGAAUGCUGACCUGCAUCACAGGGGCACCUUUCAUGAAACCUGAGACAGAGAUUUUUUUUCAUGUAUAAGAUGUUGGUGUGGUUUUUAUACAGUGUAAGUGCCAGGUAUGUUUUAAAUACAGGAAUGGGAAGGAGAGCAUAGAUGUGGGAGACUCUUGUGCAGAAAGCAGCACAUUGUCAUUAAACAGCAGACUCAGGAGUGAGAUGUGCCUGAUAUUGGGGUCUCUGAAUCACUGGCCCCUAUAUAUGUGUGUGUAUAUAUUUAUUUAUGUAUUUGAGAGGUGCUUGGACUCUGCAGUGACACGAGCUCUGAGCACCUACACAGAAAUCAGGCAAUUUUUGUUAUAAAAUUGGACCUGCUGGAGGCUGCCUGGAAGAAGGCUUGAGGUUGCUGGAUGUUUCUGAUUUGUGUGGGUUUGUGUCUGUUCUGACUUCCCCUUUGCUCCUGGAGCAGCUCCUCUCCAGGAGCUCACCCUGUGUGUCGUGGGCACUGCUCUGUGCCUCAAAAUCCCUUCAGGAUCCCUUUCAGUCUUCACAGAGCUGCUCCUUGCAGGGCCAAUGGUCCAUUCCAGGGGAGUGCUGAGCUCCCUCAAUUCAAAACAUCUUGCAGAAUGAGGCCAAAGACUCUGAGCUAGGAAGAGGUGUGAGGAGAGCUUUAUUAGUAUGGCACAUAUUUAACCCAUAGGAAAACCCACAAAUUUUACUCAUUUUAAGUGUAUUUCACACUUUUUGACUAUUUGAAAUAACCACAUUUGUAAAAACUUCUUUUAAUGAAUAGAGCUCUUUAUGUACAAAGGCAAACCCUUUUUUUUCCCCCUUAAGUACAGUCCUUUUAAAAUACUAUUUCUUUUGUAGGUCUGGCUGCUUCCCUCGUCUGUUCAUUAUUGCUUGCUGCUACAGAACCCUCCAGAACUGAAACCAGGCAAUUUAGAUUAUAUUUUAUCUUAGAAGAGUUUUGCUGAUCCAUGCCAUGUGUUCAUCAGGACUAAUAAGACAGAUGAGUAAAGGACUUUAAUUAUUUAAUGCCAACCCCAACCAGGCUGGUGUUCAGCACAAUAUUUGUGUGUGAGGGAUGGGAAGGAGCUACCUGGGUACAAAUUCUGGCCCCACUGAGCUCAGUGGGGGUUCUGCCAUUUGACUGCAACAAAGCAAAGGCUUCACCACAUGUUUAAAAGAAAUAUUUCACUGGGAUUUUCUGAAUGCUGGUAAAUGUGAUUUUAUCUUCCUUUUCACUUUUGAAUGUUUGUUUACCUUAUCUACCCUUCAAAGUAAUUUAAUAUAAAAACUUCUCAUCAAUUCCAUUUUA
Parus major (Great Tit) is the source of this 11999-nucleotide long non-coding RNA. RefSeq lists it as uncharacterized. Lineage: Eukaryota; Metazoa; Chordata; Aves; Passeriformes; Paridae. The record is from RefSeq and is a predicted model, not a curated record. The transcript has 2 exons.